Molecule: ribosomal RNA, 498 nt
Filed under: uncultured bacterium
Lineage: Bacteria
Description: partial 16S ribosomal RNA
Rfam family: Bacterial small subunit ribosomal RNA
Source: RNAcentral
AUUGAACGCUGGCGGCAUGCCUUACACAUGCAAGUCGAACGGCAGCACGGGGCAACCUGGUGGCGAGUGGCGAACGGGUGAGUAAUGUAUCGGAACGUGCCAUUGAGUGGGGGAUAACGUAGCGAAAGUUACGCUAAUACCGCAUAUACCCUGAGGGGGAAAGCAGGGGAUCGCAAGACCUUGUGCUCUUUGAGCGGCCGAUAUCAGAUUAGCUAGUUGGUGAGGUAAAGGCUCACCAAGGCGACGAUCUGUAGCGGGUCUGAGAGGACGAUCCGCCACACUGGGACUAAGACACGGCCCAGACUCCUACGGGAGGCAGCAGUGGGGAAUUUUGGACAAUGGGCGCAAGCCUGAUCCAGCCAUGCCGCGUGAGUGAAGAAGGCCUUCGGGUUGUAAAGCUCUUUCGGCCGGGAAGAAAUCGUACAGGUUAAUACCCUGUGUGGAUGACGGUACCGGAAUAAGAAGCACCGGCUAACUACGUGCCAGCCGCCGCCGUAA